This is a long non-coding RNA of Eptesicus fuscus (big brown bat), 152 nucleotides long. RefSeq lists it as uncharacterized. The record is from RefSeq and is a predicted model, not a curated record. Lineage: Eukaryota; Metazoa; Chordata; Mammalia; Chiroptera; Vespertilionidae. The transcript has 3 exons.
CAGGAUGCUAUGGCAAUGUUGAGCCUUCAGAUCAUGUUUCAGCUCAGCAAAUAUGAGAGACCAUCAGUGAAAACUACAUAGCCAAGUCCUUCUGGAAUUCCUGACCUAUAAAAUUAUCAUUCGGUCAUGAACACACUGAUUUCUAAAGGCUG